CCCUCUAUGGGUCCCUCUGUGGGUCACUGUGUGGGUCAAUGUGUGUCCCUCUAUGGGUCAAUGUGUGUCCCUCUCUGGGUCCCUCUAUGGGUCAAUGUGUGGCCCUCUAUUGGUCCCCCUAUGGGUUCAAUGUGUGGGUCAGUGUGUGGGUCAAUAUGUGUCCCUCUAUGGGUCCCCAUAUGGGUCGAUGUGUGGGUCAAUGUGUGUCCCUCUAUGGGUCCCCCUAUGGUCCCCUAUGGGUCAAUGUGGGUCCCUCUAUGGAUCCGCCUAUGGGUCCCUCUCUGGUCCCCCUAUGGGUCCCCCUAUGGGUCAAUGUGUCCCUCUAUGGGUCCCCCUAUGGGGCAACGUAUGGGUCAGUGUGUGGGUCAAUGCGGGUCUCUCUAUGGUCCCUCUAUGGGUCCCCCUAUGGGUCAAUGUGUGUCCCUCUAUGGGUCCUCCUAUGGGUGUCCCUCUCUGGUCCCUCUAUGUGUCCCCCUAUGGGUCAGUGUGUGGGUCAGUGUGUGUCCCUCUAUGGGUCCCUCUAUGUGUCCCCCUAUGGGCAAUGUGUGUCCCUCUAUGGGUCCCCCUAUGGGUCAGUGUGUAGGUCAGUGUGUGGGUCCCUCUAUGGGUCACUGUGUGGGUCAAUGUGUGUCCCUCUAUGGGUCCCUCUAUGUGUCCCCCUAUGGGUCAAUGUGUGUCCCCCUAUGUGUCCCCCUAUGGGUCAGUGUGUGGGUCAGUGUGUGGGUCAGUGUGUGUCCCUCUAUGGGUCCCUCUAUGUGUCCCCCUAUGGGGCAAUGUGUGGGUCAAUGUGUGUCCCUCUAUGGGUCCCUCUAUGGGUCAGUGUGUGGGUCAAUGUGUAUCCCUCUAUGGGUCAAUGUGGGUCCCUCUAUGGGUCCCCCUAUGGGUCAUGUGUGUCCCCUCUCUGGGUCCCCCUAUGGGUCCCCCUAUGGGUCAAUGUGUGUCCCCUAUGGGUCCCCCUAUGGAUCAAUGUGUGGGUCAAUG
This 981-nucleotide long non-coding RNA is filed under the name Gallus gallus (chicken). RNAcentral describes it as "lncRNA (ENSGALG00010009844.1)". Lineage: Eukaryota; Metazoa; Chordata; Aves; Galliformes; Phasianidae. The record is from RNAcentral.